AGUGGCGGACGGGUGAGUAACGCGUGGGUAACCUGCCUUGUACAGGGGGAUAACAGUCAGAAAUGGCUGCUAAUACCGCAUAAGCGCACAGGGCCGCAUGGUCCGGUGUGAAAAACUCCGGUGGUAUAAGAUGGACCCGCGUUGGAUUAGCUAGUUGGUGAGGUAACGGCCCACCAAGGCGACGAUCCAUAGCCGGCCUGAGAGGGUGAACGGCCACAUUGGGACUGAGACACGGCCCAGACUCCUACGGGAGGCAGCAGUGGGGAAUAUUGCACAAUGGGGGAAACCCUGAUGCAGCGACGCCGCGUGGAGGAAGAAGGUCUUCGGAUUGUAAACUCCUGUUGUUGAGGAAGAUAAUGACGGUACUCAACAAGGAAGUGACGGCUAACUACGUGCCAGCAGCCGCGGUAAAACGUAGGUCACAAGCGUUGUCCGGAAUUACUGGGUGUAAAGGGAGCGCAGGCGGGAAGACAAGUUGGAAGUGAAAUCUAUGGGCUCAACCCAUAAACUGCUUUCAAAACUGUUUUUCUUGAGUAGUGCAGAGGUAGGCGGAAUUCCCGGUGUAGCGGUGGAAUGCGUAGAUAUCGGGAGGAACACCAGUGGCGAAGGCGGCCUACUGGGCACCAACUGACGCUGAGGCUCGAAAGUGUGGGUAGCAAACAGGAUUAGAUACCCUGGUAGUCCACACCGUAAACGAUGAUUAAUAGGGUGUGGGAGGGAUUGACCCCUUCAGUGCCGCAGUUAACAACAAUAAGUAAUCCACCUGGGGAGUACGACCGCAAGGUUGAAACUCAAAGGAAUUGACGGGGGCCCGCACAAGCAGUGGAGUAUGUGGUUUAAUUCGACGCAACGCGAAGAACCUUACCAAGUCUUGACAUCCUGCGACGCACAUAGAAAUAUGUGUUUCCUUCGGGACGCAGAGACAGGUGGUGCAUGGUUGUCGUCAGCUCGUGUCGUGAGAUGUUGGGUUAAGUCCCGCAACGAGCGCAACCCUUACUGUCAGUUACUACGCAAGAGGACUCUGGCAGGACUGCCGUUGACAAAACGGAGGAAGGUGGGGAUGACGUCAAAUCAUCAUGCCCUUUAUGACUUGGGCUACACACGUACUACAAUGGCGUUAAACAAAGAGAAGCAAGACCGCGAGGUGGAGCAAAACUCAGAAACAACGUCCCAGUUCGGACUGCAGGCUGCAACUCGCCUGCACGAAGUCGGAAUUGCUAGUAAUCGUGGAUCAGCAUGCCACGGUGAAUACGUUCCCGGGCCUUGCACACACCGCCCGUCA
This 1282-nucleotide ribosomal RNA is filed under the name uncultured bacterium. RNAcentral describes it as "bacterial SSU rRNA". It matches the Rfam family "Bacterial small subunit ribosomal RNA", at positions 94 to 1399 of the family's 1533-position model. The record is from RNAcentral.